RNA transcript from Impatiens glandulifera, 2922 nucleotides. It is a transcript of the gene named cyclin-SDS-like, with no coding region annotated. The record is from RefSeq and is a predicted model, not a curated record. The transcript is spliced from 11 exons. Lineage: Eukaryota; Viridiplantae; Streptophyta; Magnoliopsida; Ericales; Balsaminaceae.
GGUAAACUUCGCCAUUCAUAGCGUUGGGGUUUCAUUCAAUCGAUACUUGCUGGUUCAGAUUCUGAUUCUCAUCCAUGGAAGUAUGUUAUCCUCCUGCAAGUAACCUACCAGAUCAUCCUACUUACUCCCAUUCGUAUGUUCUGUUUAAGCUCUAGAUUUAGGGUUGGACGCAACUGAAAUCGACGUUUCUCAUCCCCGAUCUCUUUCUUUCUCAUCGACCGCUAUUCCUUCGUCUUCGAAUCUUCUUCGAAUCGUCUUCGAAGGUGUAUGAUUUGUUAAUUAAGAUGCGGUUGUCAUCGGCUGCUACUGUCACUGAAUCCAUACAAAUAUGUAUGUUUGACUUGACAAGGGGAGAAUAUGAAGGAAAAGAAUUGGAUAAGAUAUUCUUCUUCUUUCCUUCUGAUUUACCUAUUUCAACUCAACUUUCUGUCGUAGGGCUUAGUGAAGGACUUGUCACUUUUACCAGAAUUUUCUCACCGGAGGCAGUCGCUUGGCGACGUCGUAGAAGCAGAAUUGCAGAAUUGAAUUCUCGUGUAUUUUAUGAGGCAGAACCAGAUAUCUGGAUGGUGAUGAUUCGAGCUCACAAUUUGCAAAAACAACGUAAUGAAGCACGAGAUUCAACCGAUCCAGCUCACUGGCAAAAGGAUACCUCGCAAACGCCGAACAAAAGUCUCUCCGAUCCAAUGCUCCGACAAGAAAGCGCGUCUUCUUAUGGCUCCUCCGGUGGUGGUGGCGGUGGAUUCAACUGCUUCUUCUCACUUGACAACGGAGAUUUCAUGUUCUUCUAGCGGAAUCUCUGUAAACAAGGAUGUGAAGAUAAAUGAAGAUGCGAGAGAAAACGAGCUGCUGCGCAAGUCAAAGAGAUCCAGUAAGGGAGAAGAGAUCCAAGUCUCGGAAUCCUCUUGCGUUGAAUCGAGUUCGAGAGUUGCGGAGGAGAGAAAUCAUAAGAGAAUUAAGCUUAAAGGAGCUGUAAAGAGUAAGGAGGUUAAGGAAUUUGAAUAUCCAAACGGUGAUGGAUCUGAAAUUGGAAACAAUUGUUUAGAAUCAAGUGAGAAGUUAUUUAAAUUGAAGGAUAUAGGAGUUGAUUCAACUAUCUGUUCAUCCGUCGGAAAUAUCAUGCCGGAAGAAGAAGUCACAGAUGGUGAAACACGAGUUUUAACUAUUGAAAACUCUGAUGCUUCAGAAAAACAUGCUGAGAGCAAGUUUACAGAUCCGAAUUCAGAAUCAACUGUAGACCAGAGAGAAAUACUCAUCUUCAACCACUCUGAUCUAGUUUGUCUAGAGAAUCUAUGUUGCGAUGAAGACAUUUCUGAUUAUUCAUCUUCAUAUUCUAGCCACCGGACAGGAAUUUCACAGAACAGUUUAGACCUAGAUUCAUCAACCUUUAGUCCGUCUAUAUGGAUGGAAUCUGGAAGCAAGUUCUCCGAGAAAUCCUUCAUCGACUCAGGUCCAUCACCAACAUUCUCACUCUUCCUUGAGUAUAGUCAACAAUUCUCUACAUCAACUUCACCUUGCCAAUCUAAAUUCAUUUCUCCUGUUUCUGAAGAAGAGUAUUUCAUUGAUCCAUCAUUGUUGAUGUGCCUAGAAGAAGAAGAAGACAGAACGUGUUACCAGAUAUUCAGGAACAGGGAGAGAAAAUACGAUCUUCUUCCGAACUUUGCAGAGUACUGCCGCUCCACUGGAUUUGAAGAACUCAUUAUCGAUCAACGGUCACAAAUGAUACAGUGGAUAGUUAAGCAUUCAACAGCAAAAGAACUUCAGAAGGAAACAAUGUUCUUAGCAAUUAGCCUCUUUGACCGAUUCCUAAGCAAAGGGUAUUUCAGAAGCAAGCGGAACAUUCAAAUUGUGGGAAUUUCCUGUUUGACAUUAGCCACAAGGAUAGAGGAAAACCAACCUUACAAUAGUUUCAGACAGAAGACAUUUAGAGCUGGACACAGUACAUUCAGUAGAUGUGAAGUAGUAGCAAUGGAGUGGCUUGUGCUGGAAGUUCUCAACUUCAAUUGCUAUCUGCCUACAAUCUACAGUUUCUUAUGGUUUUACCUGAAAGCUGCAAAAGCAAAUGAAGAGGUGGAGAAAAAUGUGAUGGGACUUUCUGUACUUGCAUUGUUAGGACAUGAACGACUUUCUUUCUGGCCUUCAACAGUUGCAGCUGGACUUGUCAUACUUGCUUCAAUGGCCGCCAAUAAAGACGCAUUCUCUCAGCGCGUCAUAGAGACUCAUGUCAAUACGGAAGGAGAUGACCUCACUGGAUGCAUAAAGUGUCUUGGAAGCUUGAUAAACCAGAAGGUCACAUAGGAGUACUCACUAAAGGGGAUCGAUUAAUCAAAGUAAAGGGGAAAUCGACGAUCGAAAUGGAACUAGCGAAGGUGUGAAAUGGAAAAAGAUUUCUCUCUUGUCUUUGAGUUGUGGCCAUUAGAGAGGAGAUCAGUAGACAGUGAAGUGAAGAGACGGUUGUAGAAAGUGGAGGGGGGUAUUUUCGUUGUUGAAGAAUGAAGAGAAAAGGACACUUGAGAUCGUAACGCCAUGUAUAGAGUUCGAGUGUUGAGACAAAUCACUACCAGAGUUACACAAGGGACUCUAAACAGGGUGUUUGGGAGUUUAAAGCAUCUUGGAAUUGAAAUCCAUCACUUUCAGAUUCAGAUUUUGUAGAGAGCUAUUAUUGGGAAAUUCAAGUUAUGAUCCUUGAAGCAUGUAAUUUUUCAAUGCUGAAAUUUUUUAGUUGGUAAACUAGCCUCAGAACUGUUAAUUUUUUUAAAUUUAUAAUGAAAUCCAGAAUGGAGAUGAUAGGUUUUUCAUAAAGAAAUUUAGAUGGUAGACGAAGUGAGUGUAGCUUGUGUUUUAAUUUGGGUAGUGUGAUUUGUUUGAUUUGGGGUUAUUUGAAUAACUAGGUAUUAUUUUCAAAUAAUUUUGUUUGAUGUAACU